AUUACUUUAGCAAAUUAGUGCAUUAAAUUUAGAAUUUAAAAAUAAAAUUAAUAAUUUUAAGUAAUA
RNAcentral lists this transfer RNA (66 nucleotides) under Ceratosolen solmsi. RNAcentral's name for it is "tRNA-Leu". Lineage: Eukaryota; Metazoa; Arthropoda; Insecta; Hymenoptera; Agaonidae. The record is from RNAcentral.